GACGAACGCUGGCGGCGUGCUUAACACAUGCAAGUCGAACGGAAAGGCCCUGCUUUUGUGGGGUGCUCGAGUGGCGAACGGGUGAGUAACACGUGAGUAACCUGCCCUUGACUUUGGGAUAACUUCAGGAAACUGGGGCUAAUACCGGAUAGGAGCUCCUGCUGCAUGGUGGGGGUUGGAAAGUUUCGGCGGUUGGGGAUGGACUCGCGGCUUAUCAGCUUGUUGGUGGGGUAGUGGCUUACCAAGGCUUUGACGGGUAGCCGGCCUGAGAGGGUGACCGGCCACAUUGGGACUGAGACACGGCCCAGACUCCUACGGGAGGCAGGAGUGGGGAAUAUUGGACAAUGGGCGAAAGCCUGAUCCAGCAAUGCCGCGUGAGUGAUGAAGGCCUUAGGGUUGUAAAGCUCUUUUACCCGGGAUGAUAAUGACAGUACCGGGAGAAUAAGCUCCGGCUAACUCCGUG
RNAcentral lists this ribosomal RNA (463 nucleotides) under uncultured bacterium. Its description in RNAcentral is "partial 16S ribosomal RNA". It matches the Rfam family "Bacterial small subunit ribosomal RNA", at positions 28 to 507 of the family's 1533-position model. The record is from RNAcentral.